AUGGAAUGCCAAAAUAUUCCAUGGCAAACUGCUCAAUAACACGUGAUCAACUUACCCUAUGGAAAACAAUAACCUCUGGAAACGGAGGAUAAUGGUUUAUAGUUGAAAAGGCUUGGAAAAGUUUUUCAAUAAAAGGGAAUAAUAAAAAUGGUUAUUAUUUUGCCAUAGGAUAGGAUUGCGGUCGAUUAUGGCCGUUGGUGAGGUAAUGGCUCACCAAACCAAUAAUCGAUAGGGGCCGUGAGAGCGGGAGCCCCGAGAUGGGUACUGAGACAACGACCCAGGCCUUACGAGGCGCAGCAGGCGCGAAAACUCCGCAAUACACGAAAGUGUGACGGGGUUACCCAAAGUGCUUAAUAUUUAAGCUGUGGUAAGUGUGUAAUGUACCUUACUAGAAAGGAGAGGGCAAGGCUGGUGCCAGCCGCCGCGGUAAAACCAGCUCUUCAAGUGGUCGGGAUAUUUAUUGGGCUUAAAGUGUCCGUAGCUUGUAUAAUAAGUUCCUGGUAAGAUCUAAUAGCUUAACUAUUAGUAUGCUAGGAAUACUGUUAUACUAGAGGGCGGGAGAGGUUUGAGGUACUUCAGGGGUAGGGGUGAAAUCCUAUAAUCCUUGAAGGACCACCAGUGGCGAAGGCGUCAGACUGGAACGCGCCUGACAGUGAGGGACGAAAGCCAGGGGAGCGAACCGGAUUAGAUACCCGGGUAGUCCUGGCCGUAAACGAUG
RNAcentral lists this ribosomal RNA (718 nucleotides) under uncultured archaeon. Its description in RNAcentral is "bacterial SSU rRNA". It matches the Rfam family "Archaeal small subunit ribosomal RNA", at positions 62 to 762 of the family's 1478-position model. The record is from RNAcentral.